GAUGAACGCUGGCGGCGUGCCUAAUACAUGCAAGUCGAGCGAACAGAUGAGGAGCUUGCUCCUCUGACGUUAGCGGCGGACGGGUGAGUAACACGUGGAUAACCUACCUAUAAGACUGGGAUAACUUCGGGAAACCGGAGCUAAUACCGGAUAAUAUAUUGAACCGCAUGGUUCAAUAGUGAAAGACGGUUUUGCUGUCACUUAUAGAUGGAUCCGCGCCGCAUUAGCUAGUUGGUAAGGUAACGGCUUACCAAGGCAACGAUGCGUAGCCGACCUGAGAGGGUGAUCGGCCACACUGGAACUGAGACACGGUCCAGACUCCUAAGGGAGGCAGCAGUAGGGAAUCUGCCGCAAUGGGCGAAAGCAUGACGGAGCAACGCCGCGUGAGUGAUGAAGGUCUUCGGAUCGUAAAACUCUGUUAUUAGGGAAGAACAAAUGUGUAAGUAACUAUGCACGUCUUGACGGUACCUAAUCAGAAAGCCACGGCUAACUACGUG
This 497-nucleotide ribosomal RNA is filed under the name uncultured bacterium. RNAcentral describes it as "partial 16S ribosomal RNA". It matches the Rfam family "Bacterial small subunit ribosomal RNA", at positions 28 to 507 of the family's 1533-position model. The record is from RNAcentral.